Molecule: non-coding RNA, 30 nt
Filed under: Homo sapiens (human)
Lineage: Eukaryota; Metazoa; Chordata; Mammalia; Primates; Hominidae
Source: RNAcentral
UCCUACUUCAUGUGGGGUGCCAUUCCCUCC